UGGGUACUGCGGAGACAUUACUGAUUUGCUUAAUUGCACCACAUGUGUUUUUUAUUGAACAAAUUUCUUUGGUGGCGGGAGCAAUCCUACCGCCAGAGGUUAUAACUAAACCAAACUUUUUAUUUACAGUCAAACUUGAUUUAUUAUUACAAUAGUCAAAACUUUCAACAACGGAUCUCUUGGUUCUCGCAUCGAUGAAGAACGCAGCGAAAUGCGAUACGUAAUAUGAAUUGCAGAUAUUCGUGAAUCAUCGAAUCUUUGAACGCACAUUGCGCCCUUUGGUAUUCCAAAGGGCAUGCCUGUUUGAGCGUCAUUUCUCCCUCAAACCCCCGGGUUUGGUGUUGAGCAAUACGCUAGGUUUGUUUGAAAGAAUUUAACGUGGAAACUUAUUUUAAGCGACUUAGGUUUAUCCAAAAACGCUUAUUUUGCUAGUGGCCACCACAAUUUAUUUCAUAACUUUGACCUCAAAUCAGGUAGGACUACCCGCUGAACUUAAGCAUAUCAAUAAGGCGGGAGGAA
This 519-nucleotide ribosomal RNA is filed under the name Candida tropicalis. RNAcentral describes it as "eukaryotic LSU rRNA". The stretch from base 160 to 313 matches the Rfam family "5.8S ribosomal RNA". Lineage: Eukaryota; Fungi; Ascomycota; Pichiomycetes; Serinales; Debaryomycetaceae. The record is from RNAcentral.